This 348-nucleotide small RNA is filed under the name Vigna angularis var. angularis. Its description in RNAcentral is "Non-protein coding transcript". Lineage: Eukaryota; Viridiplantae; Streptophyta; Magnoliopsida; Fabales; Fabaceae. The record is from RNAcentral.
GUUUAUCAACCGACCUCCAUUAUCUUUUAGUCAAGUUUUAGGGUAGAUAGUUUCUGAAAUUCAUAGUUUUCAUAGAGUCUCUUGAGGGUGAGAGGUCUGCAAAGUAUAGGGUUCUACGAUGUUGGCAGCAGGAGUCUCCUUUAGCGAGUGCAAAGAAACCGUGAAGGGAGUCUUGGGCUGUGGUCUGCAAAGAGUCUGGGGCUUAGGAUUCUCACGAGUGCAAAGUAACCGUGAGCAACCCCAUGGCUACGCAUGAUUCAGAAUUGAGAAUUUAAUUUGUUUGGGGAAUUAAUGAGAACCUGCACAUAUCAAGUUUCUGAAAUAGAAUCUGUAGGACGCCAAAGUGGG